AUACGUAGGGGGCGAGCGUUGUCCGGAAUGAUUGGGCGUAAAGGGCGCGUAGGCGGCCCGGUAAGUCUGGAGUGAAAGUCCUGUUUUUAAGAUGGGAAUUGCUUUGGAUACUGUCGGGCUUGAGUGCAGGAGAGGUAAGUGGAAUUCCCAGUGUAGCGGUGAAAUGCGUAGAGAUUGGGAGGAACACCAGUGGCGAAGGCGACUUACUGGACUGUAACUGACGCUGAGGCGCGAAAGUGUGGGGAGCAAACAGGAUUAGAUACCCUGGUAGUCCACACUGUAAACGAUGAAUGCUAGGUGUAGGGGGUAUCGACCCCUUCUGUGCCGCAGUCAACACAAUAAGCAUUCCGCCUGGGGAGUACGGCCGCAAGGUUGAAACUUAAAGGAAUUGACGGGG
RNAcentral lists this ribosomal RNA (397 nucleotides) under uncultured bacterium. RNAcentral describes it as "partial 16S ribosomal RNA". It matches the Rfam family "Bacterial small subunit ribosomal RNA", at positions 523 to 918 of the family's 1533-position model. The record is from RNAcentral.